GAUGAACGCUGGCGGCGUGCCUAAUACAUGCAAGUCGAGCGAACGGACGAGAAGCUUGCUUCUCUGAUGUUAGCGGCGGACGGGUGAGUAACACGUGGAUAACCUACCUAUAAGACUGGGAUAACUUCGGGAAACCGGAGCUAAUACCGGAUGAUAUUUUGAACCGCAUGGUUCAAAAGUGAAAGACGGUCUUGCUGUCACUUAUAGAUGGAUCCGCGCUGCAUUAGCUAGUUGGUAAGGUAACGGCUUACCAAGGCAACGAUGCAUAGCCGACCUGAGAGGGUGAUCGGCCACACUGGAACUGAGACACGGUCCAGACUCCUACGGGAGGCAGCAGUAGGGAAUCUUCAGCAAUGGGCGAAAGCCUGACGGAGCAACGCCGCGUGAGUGAUGAAGGUCUUCGGAUCGUAAAACUCUGUUAUUAGGGAAGAACAUAUGUGUAAGUAACUGUGCACAUCUUGACGGUACCUAAUCAGAAAGCCACGGCUAACUACGUG
Molecule: ribosomal RNA, 497 nt
Filed under: uncultured bacterium
Lineage: Bacteria
Description: partial 16S ribosomal RNA
Rfam family: Bacterial small subunit ribosomal RNA
Source: RNAcentral